RNAcentral lists this ribosomal RNA (776 nucleotides) under uncultured Neocallimastigales. RNAcentral describes it as "partial large subunit ribosomal RNA". It matches the Rfam family "Eukaryotic large subunit ribosomal RNA", at positions 22 to 645 of the family's 3401-position model. Lineage: Eukaryota; Fungi; Neocallimastigomycota; Neocallimastigomycetes; Neocallimastigales. The record is from RNAcentral.
GUACACGCUGUGACUAGCAUAUCAAUAAGCGGAGGAAAAGAAACUAACAAGGAUUCCCCUAGUAACGGCGAGUGAAGCGGGAAGAGCUCAAAUUUGAAAUCUUAAAGGGUUUCCCUUUACGAAUUGUAGUUUAAAGAAGUGUUUUCUGUUGAGGUUUUGGUAAAAGUUCUUUGGAAUAGGACAUCAUAGAGGGUGAGAAUCCCGUAUUUGACCUUUACUUUCAACUUUGUGAUACACUUUCAAAGAGUCGGAUUGUUUGGGAAUGCAGUCCAAAAUGGGUGGUAAAUUUCAUCUAAAGCUAAAUAUUGGCGAGAGACCGAUAGCGAACAAGUACCGUGAGGGAAAGAUGAAAAGAACUUUGAAAAGAGAGUUAAACAGUACGUGAAAUUGUCAAAAGGGAAGCGUUUGACACCAGUGUUGUUUUUCUGAAAAGUCAAUUAAAGAACUGUUUAUGCUAAGCUGUUUAGACUUUAUCAGCUAAUCUGUUUAGUUUUGAGCUUUUCUUUAAUGCACUUUUCAGUUAACAAGUCAACAUCAAUUUCUUUUGCUGUAAAAAAGCUUGAGGAAGGUGGCUUGAGAUUCGUCUUAAGUGUUUAUAGCCUCUUGCCUAUGCAGUCGGAGAGAUUGAGGUCUGCAGCGUAGAUCCUUCGGGGCUAAAUGCAUUUGUGCUAAGUUAUAGCAUUUUAUAGACAACUUGUUGACUAUGAUUUGUCUUGUAGCUUACUCGCUCAUGUUAUUUUACCUACGCUUAGGAUGUUGAAGUCAUCGUAUCGCGC